AUUGAACGCUGGCGGCAGGCCUAACACAUGCAAGUCGAGCGGAUGAAGGGAGCUUGCUCCUGGAUUCAGCGGCGGACGGGUGAGUAAUGCCUAGGAAUCUGCCUGGUAGUGGGGGAUAACGUCCGGAAACGGGCGCUAAUACCGCAUACGUCCUGAGGGAGAAAGUGGGGGAUCUUCGGACCUCACGCUAUCAGAUGAGCCUAGGUCGGAUUAGCUAGUUGGUGGGGUAAAGGCCUACCAAGGCGACGAUCCGUAACUGGUCUGAGAGGAUGAUCAGUCACACUGGAACUGAGACACGGUCCAGACUCCUACGGGAGGCAGCAGUGGGGAAUAUUGGACAAUGGGCGAAAGCAUGAUCCAGCCAUGCCGCGUGUGUGAAGAAGGUCUUCGGAUUGUAAAGCACUUUAAGUUGGGAGGAAGGGAAGUAAGUUAAUACCUUGCUGUUUUGACGUUACCAACAGAAUAAGCACCGGCUAACUUCGUG
RNAcentral lists this ribosomal RNA (484 nucleotides) under uncultured bacterium. RNAcentral describes it as "partial 16S ribosomal RNA". It matches the Rfam family "Bacterial small subunit ribosomal RNA", at positions 30 to 507 of the family's 1533-position model. The record is from RNAcentral.